GGAAUAGUCAUUCCAAUGACUUACUUAUUUCAAUGUUUGGUUCACCAUUGAAUAAUGGAAUGAUGAUUCCAAAUAGAAUCACUAUUCACCUUAGUGAAGGAAUUGUCAUUCCAUUCAAAAAACUAAGGAAUUGUUAUUCCAUUUCUUUGUCACACCAAAAUUUACUAGUGCCACUUCAACAUUCACUAUUGCCACACCAAAAAUUACUAUUACCACUCCAAAAAAUGCUAUUGCCACUCCAAAAAUUACUAUUGUCACUUCAAAAAUUGCUAUUACUAUACUAUUCCAUUGGAGAUGAGAAUGACUGUUACUAAGCACAACCAAACAUGAGAAUGAGAAUAAUUAUUCCAUUCUCAAUUCCUCCAAUUCUAUUCCAUUCUUAAUUCCAUUCCUAUUCACAUUCCAUUCCAACCAAACGCACAAAUGUUUUCCUUUGUCUAACAUUUGCAGAUCCUUUAGAGAGAGGGGCAGGUACUGCACGAACUUGUACAUGCCGUGGGGGAGAAAAAAAAAUAAAAUCUUACAAUGGGGAUUCUAUUCGUAACUCUUGCUGUUUGGUUGGUGUUUGAGAAACCUGACUCUAAAUGUAUAAUGGUGUUUGUCAACCCUGAGGCUUUCUUAUUAUUCUUACCAUUCCGGCACUCGAUGAGAAGUAUGAAAACAACAAUGUCAAUAGAAAUAUCCUAAUCGGUUGCAGGGAAGUGCAGCUGUUGUAUGUGAAAUUGGACGUGGAGUGUCUCAGUAUGUUUCAGAAGUGGAUUUUUUUUGGAAAUGAUACAAUGCUUUUGUAAUUGUGUGAGUUGAACAUCUAGAUUUGAGGAGUAAUAUAUGCUUGCAGAGAAUGAUGUACUGCUUUUGUAAUAGUGUGAGUGGAACAUCUAUUGAUUGGGUGGUUGUUAUUCA
Rhododendron vialii is the source of this 903-nucleotide long non-coding RNA. RefSeq lists it as uncharacterized. The transcript is spliced from 2 exons. Lineage: Eukaryota; Viridiplantae; Streptophyta; Magnoliopsida; Ericales; Ericaceae. The record is from RefSeq and is a predicted model, not a curated record.